This 253-nucleotide ribosomal RNA is filed under the name uncultured bacterium. Its description in RNAcentral is "partial 16S ribosomal RNA". It matches the Rfam family "Bacterial small subunit ribosomal RNA", at positions 524 to 776 of the family's 1533-position model. The record is from RNAcentral.
UACAGAGGGUGCAAGCGUUAAUCGGAAUUACUGGGCGUAAAGCGUGCGUAGGCGGAUAAUUAAGUCAGAUGUGAAAGCCCUGGGCUCAACCUAGGAACUGCAUCUGAUACUGGUUAUCUAGAGUAUGGUAGAGGAUGGCGGAAUUUCUGGUGUAGCGGUGAAAUGCGUAGAUAUCAGAAGGAACAUCAGUGGCGAAGGCGGCCGUCUGGGCCAAUACUGACGCUGAGGCACGAAAGCGUGGGGAGCGAACAGG